UUUGCAUUUGUUUGUAUAAUUAAUAUUUUAUAUUAUAGGGAGGGGCUGUAGCAGGAAACGUGGCUCAUAUUCUGGAUUCAAAUCAUGGAAAGAAGGCGUUACUAUACACUGCCAUGAAUCAGUUGGCAGUGGGAAGCACUUCGGCCGAAAAU
Fukomys damarensis (Damara mole-rat) is the source of this 152-nucleotide long non-coding RNA. RefSeq lists it as uncharacterized. NCBI's taxonomy places the organism in Eukaryota, Metazoa, Chordata, Mammalia, Rodentia, Bathyergidae. The transcript has 2 exons. The record is from RefSeq and is a predicted model, not a curated record.